RNAcentral lists this long non-coding RNA (1048 nucleotides) under Cricetulus griseus (Chinese hamster). Its description in RNAcentral is "lncRNA (ENSCGRG00015039380.1)". Lineage: Eukaryota; Metazoa; Chordata; Mammalia; Rodentia; Cricetidae. The record is from RNAcentral.
UGAGGACUGGAGUGUGAGAUGGAGGAGUGUGAGGAAGGAUGGGUGUGAGGACAGGAGUGAGGAUGGGUGUGAAGUGGCUGGUCAUAUUGCAUCUGCAGUCAAGAAGCAAUGGCAAAUACUGGUGCCGUUUGCUUAAUUUUUUUUUUUGCGAGUGUAUCUGCGUGUGUUUGUGUGGGUACACACAUGUAUUCCAAUGUGUGGAGGUUUUCCUAGAGAGAAUGGUGCUUACCAAGUAGACCUGACUGAUUGGCAAGUGAGCCCUGGGAUCUACCAGUCUUCAUCUCCCUAGUGCAGGGGUUACAAGUACUGGAAGACAGAGACCUCAUCCAGUAACUGAUGGAACCAGACACAGAGAUCCACAACCAAGAACCAGUCUGAGCUCCGGGAAUCCAGGUGAAGAGAGGGAGGAGGGAAUAGCUGAGCAAGAGAGGUCAAGAUCAUGAAGGGGACAUCUACGGAGACAGCUGAACCAAGCUCCUGGAAACUCAUCAACUCUAGACCUACAACUGUGGAAACUCCAGGGGACUGAACUAGGCCCUGCGUAUGUGGGAGACAGUUGUGAAGCUUGGACUAUCAGAGGAGCCCCUGAUAGUAGGACCACAAUACAAACCUGGUACAUGAGCUAGCUGGUUGGAGCCCCAUUCCUUAGAGUGGGUUGCCAUCCUCAGUGGAGGUAGGAGCACGAUAUAAUCCCAGUAUAUGAGCUAUCUUGUUGGAGCCCAUUCCCUCUGGUGGGAUGCCAUGCUCAGUCUUAAUGUAUGGGAGAGGGGCCAGGCCCUGUCCUAACUUAUUGUGUCAGACUAUGUUGACUCCUUAUGGGAGCCCUUACCCAUGAGGAGGAGUGGACUUGGGGUGGGCUAGAGGGGAGCUAAGGGGAAGGGGUGAGAGGGAGAACUGUAGUUGGAAUGUAAAAUAAAAUCAAAAAGUAAAAAAAUGGAAAAAUUAUAUUGAUUGAUUGCUUGCUUGCUUGCUUGAUAAGUUAGAAACAGGGUUUUAUGUAGCCCAGGCCUGCCUCAGACUGGCUAUGUAGCCAGGGAUGACUUUAAUU